RNAcentral lists this ribosomal RNA (253 nucleotides) under uncultured bacterium. RNAcentral's name for it is "partial 16S ribosomal RNA". It matches the Rfam family "Bacterial small subunit ribosomal RNA", at positions 524 to 776 of the family's 1533-position model. The record is from RNAcentral.
UACGAAGGGGGCUAGCGUUGCUCGGAAUUACUGGGCGUAAAGCGCACGUAGGCGGAUAUUUAAGUCAGGGGUGAAAUCCCAGAGCUCAACUCUGGAACUGCCUUUGAUACUGGGUAUCUGGAGUAUGGAAGAGGUGAGUGGAAUUCCGAGUGUAGAGGUGAAAUUCGUAGAUAUUCGGAGGAACACCAGUGGCGAAGGCGGCUCACUGGUCCAUUACUGACGCUGAGGUGCGAAAGCGUGGGGAGCAAACAGG